CCACCCCUUAUUGAUAUUGUCUGCCUGUUUUAAUUGAACAGCUGUGCAUUUUAACUGAUUCAAUUUAAAACAUUGGCCUGUAGUGUGAGACUUCAGGCAUUUUGCAAAAAUGCUAUGCAGGAGGAGAAGGUACACACCUGGUGAUUUUAUUUUGUUUUUUUUUAAAUCUCCAGUUACUGCAAAAACAAGUUUCAUUCAAAUUGAAGAACACUGAGGAGGAAGAGAAAGAGUAGUAAUGUGGAGAUGUAGCAUGGGAAUAACUUUCUGAACUAAAGCUUGGUCCUUUGCAGGUAGCCUGUAUGCAGUUCAUCAAUGCCCUUGUUACAUCUCCAGAAGAUCUUGAUUUCAGGAUGCASUUGAGAAAGGAGUUUUUACAUUGUGUGCUGAAAAAAAUAUUGCCUGGGAAAYGUUUCAAGAAAUUUGUAAGUGAGCAAAAGUUUCUGGAGUGAGAAGAUUUGGGAAGAGGAUCCGUAAUUCUUGGUCUCUUUCUCUGUCCAGAUACAAAAUAUGCUUCUCUGGYUUUCAAACAGAAUCGGUAUGAGUUCCACUUUUUUCUGGCUAUAUAAAAUUAGCAUCCAGUUGUGUAUGUCUAGUUCCAGGCCAAUUUUCAUUUAAAGCAUAGAGUGUACUCACACUAAUGGCUUUUGAACUAGUGUUGCUUUUUGUGUGAUGUGCCUAGCAGGAAGCUAAACUUGCCUCUUAGGUGUGUUGGAGAAAUUAUUCUGUAUUUCUUAUAAGGAACACUUCCCCUCCGCCCCCACCUCCAAAUACCUUUUUUUCUUUUCUUUUUCUUUUUUUUUUACUUCUCGUGUAAGUAUUUCUGAGAAUGCACUAGAGAUGUUUUUAUGCUGUGAUCUAGAUUAACUUCUAAUGACAAAAGUUGUAAACAUCCCUCAUUUACACUUCUUUAGCCUUCUUUAGUUGUCUUUCCUUGAUGUCUUGAAAUAUUCUUAUGCAAUGUUUUUUUAAGAAGAACUGACACUGACAAGACUGAAUCGUCAACUAUGUUUUAUUGAGAGAGCUCAACUCUAUUAUGUUUUGUUUCUUUUACAGCUUAUGCCUGCUAUACUGGCUGAUAUUUUUGCCCUACUUUUUAUCAGCUGUGCAAUAAUAUUUUWAAAAAAAUCAGAAAAUCAGUUACAACUUAUUCUUUUUAAAAUGUGUUUUCUGCUCAGAACGUUAAUAUAUUAUAUUUUGCAAUGAUGUAAUCUUUGAAGGGGGGAAAUUGUUGCUUUAAGAAGAAAUGGAAAAUUAAGAUACGCUAUGCCUUGAAAAAUAGGAUUUGAAAGGUAACGAGAAUGAAGAGCUUGAUAUUCAGUUGAAAGUGUUUGAAAACAAAGAMGACGACUUAAUUGAGCUGUCACAUCGUCUCAGUGAUAUCGAAGCCGAAAUGGAAUAUCCUUUAUAGAAAUGGUGUUCUAAUGUGUUGAUUAGUAGUUUUAUUUAAACCUAAGGUAGCCUUCUCUACAUGCAGCUGAUUGUCACAAUUACAUCUCUUCCUAAGGAUUUUCACAAGCAGAUUUCAUUUCACUUGCUUUUGUUAGAAAUUUAGUUAGAAAAUUAGCGUCUGUAUUGAUAUAGUUCUCUUAAAUGCAAGUCAUUAGGAACUGAAUUAAUUUUUCAUAAAUAUCARUUAUUAAACUAAAUACUCUGUUGGUUUGUAAUAUGUAAAGAUGUAAAAUUACACUUGAAUUUUAAGUCUCAUUAAAAUGGCAGGUUUGAUAACUAAAUCAGAACAAUUUUUCAAGUGGGUUUUUGAAACAAUUAAAAUGUAUGCUUUCUSUGGGUGUGAAACAGCAGUAAAUUUCAAGUUACGUGAGUCCAGAACUCUUACUUGACAUUGUCUGAAUUUGGAAAAAGUCCUAGGUAGUACUGAAGAAAUGGAGAAAUAUGGGAACCAAUGAAGGGGGUAUAAAAUCAGUAGCAUGUAAGAUUGUUGUUGCAUUAUAGUUGCAGAAGACAACUUUGGGAAUUGUCUUUAAGAAAUUAAAAUGAUUAACCAGUGUGCUUUUUGCCAAUAGACAGGCUUACUUCAAAAUAAAAAUGAAAACUGUGUGAAAUAUGCUUACA
RNAcentral lists this long non-coding RNA (2070 nucleotides) under Dromaius novaehollandiae (emu). RNAcentral's name for it is "lncRNA (ENSDNVG00000003518.1)". Lineage: Eukaryota; Metazoa; Chordata; Aves; Casuariiformes; Dromaiidae. The record is from RNAcentral.